This 313-nucleotide ribosomal RNA is filed under the name uncultured vent bacterium. Its description in RNAcentral is "bacterial SSU rRNA". It matches the Rfam family "Bacterial small subunit ribosomal RNA", at positions 1038 to 1327 of the family's 1533-position model. The record is from RNAcentral.
AAAUUUUAUGGCCGUCGUCAGCUAGAAAAAAGAAAUGUUGGGUUAAGGCCCGCAACGAGCGCAACCCUUGAGCUUAGUUGCCAACAUUCAGGUGGGCACUCUAAGGUGACUGCCGGUGACAAACCGGAGGAAGGUGGGGAUGACGUCAAAUCAUCAUGCCCCUUAUGACCUGGGCUACACCCCUGCUACAAUGGACGGUACAAAGGGCAGCGAAACCGCGGGGAAAAGCCAAUCCCAGAAAACCGUUCUCAGUCCGGAAUUCUUUUCUCCAACUCGGAGGAAAUGAACCCCUAUUCUUUUCUGUGCCAGGGGU